Molecule: ribosomal RNA, 422 nt
Filed under: uncultured bacterium
Lineage: Bacteria
Description: bacterial SSU rRNA
Rfam family: Bacterial small subunit ribosomal RNA
Source: RNAcentral
UAAGGAAUAUUGGUCAAUGGACGAAAGUCUGAACCAGCCAUGCCGCGUGGAGGAUGAAGGCCCUCUGGGUUGUAAACUUCUUUUAUAGGGGACGAAAAAGGGUCUUUCUAGAUCAACUGACGGUACCCUAGGAAUAAGCACCGGCUAACUCCGUGCCAGCAGCCGCGGUAAUACGGAGGGUGCAAGCGUUAUCCGGAUUCACUGGGUUUAAAGGGUGCGUAGGUGGGUCUGUAAGUCAGUGGUGAAAUCUUCGAGCUUAACUCGGAAACUGCCAUUGAUACUAUAGGUCUUGAAUCAUCUGGAGGUGAGCGGAAUAUGUCAUGUAGCGGUGAAAUGCUUAGAUAUGACAUAGAACACCGAUUGCGAAGGCAGCUCACUACGGAUGUAUUGACACUGAGGCACGAAAGCGUGGGGAUCAAACA